This 774-nucleotide ribosomal RNA is filed under the name uncultured bacterium. Its description in RNAcentral is "bacterial SSU rRNA". It matches the Rfam family "Bacterial small subunit ribosomal RNA", at positions 8 to 767 of the family's 1533-position model. The record is from RNAcentral.
AGAGUUUAGAUCAUGGCUCAGAGUGAACGCUGGCGGUAGGCCUAACACAUGCAAGUCGAACGGCAGCACAGGAAAGCUUGCUCUCCGGGUGGCGAGUGGCGGACGGGUGAGGAAUACAUCGGAAUCUACCCUGUCGUGGGGGAUAACGUAGGGAAACUUACGCUAAUACCGCAUACGACCUUCGGGUGAAAGUAGGGGAUCGCAAGACCUUACGCGAUUGGAUGAGCCGAUGUCGGAUUAGCUAGUUGGCGGGGUAAAAGCCCACCAAGGCGACGAUCCGUAGCUGGUCUGAGAGGAUGAUCAGCCACACUGGAACUGAGACACGGUCCAGACUCCUACGGGAGGCAGCAGUGGGGAAUAUUGGACAAUGGGCGCAAGCCUGAUCCAGCCAUACCGCGUGGGUGAAGAAGGCCUUCGGGUUGUAAAGCCCUUUUGUCCGGAAAGAAAAGCUUUCGGCUAAUACCCGGAAGUCAUGACGGUACCGGAAGAAUAAGCACCGGCUAACUUCGUGCCAGCAGCCGCGGUAAUACGAAGGGUGCAAGCGUUACUCGGAAUUACUGGGCGUAAAGCGUGCGUAGGUGGUNUGUUAAGUCUGAUGUGAAAGCCCUGGGCUCAACCUGGGAAUUGCACUGGAUACUGGCAGGCUAGAGUGCGGUAGAGGAUGGCGGAAUUCCCGGUGUAGCAGUGAAAUGCGUAGAGAUCGGGGAGGAACAUCCGUGGCGAAGGCGGCCAUCUGGACCAGCACUGACCACUGAGGCACCGAAAGCGUGGGGA